RNAcentral lists this ribosomal RNA (253 nucleotides) under uncultured bacterium. RNAcentral's name for it is "partial 16S ribosomal RNA". It matches the Rfam family "Bacterial small subunit ribosomal RNA", at positions 524 to 776 of the family's 1533-position model. The record is from RNAcentral.
GACGUAGGGCGCGAGCGUUGUCCGGAUUUAUUGGGCGUAAAGAGCUCGUAGGCGGCUUGUCGCGUCGACCGUGAAAACUUGGGGCUCAACCCCAAGCCUGCGGUCGAUACGAGCGGACUCGAGCUCGGUAGGGGGCCAUGGAAUUCCCGGUGUAGUGGUGGAAUGCGUAGAGAUCGGGAGGAACACCAGUGGCGAAGGCGGUGGCCUGGACCGAUGCUGACGCUGAGGCGCGACAGCGUGGGGAGCAAACAGG